This 252-nucleotide ribosomal RNA is filed under the name uncultured bacterium. RNAcentral describes it as "partial 16S ribosomal RNA". It matches the Rfam family "Bacterial small subunit ribosomal RNA", at positions 526 to 779 of the family's 1533-position model. The record is from RNAcentral.
CGUAGGUGCAAGCGUUAAUCGGAAUUACUGGGCGUAAGCGUGCGCAGGCGGUCCGCUAAGACAGAUGUGAAAUCCCCGGGCGUUAACCUGGGAACUGCAUUUGUGACUGGCGGGCUAGAGUAUGGCAGAGGGGGUAGGAAUUCCACGUGUAGCAGUGAAAUGCGUAGAGAUGUGGAGGAAUACCGAUGGCGAAGGCAGCCCCCUGGGCCAAUACUGACGCUCAUGCACGAAAGCGUGGGAGCAAACAGGAUU